This 253-nucleotide ribosomal RNA is filed under the name Blautia obeum. Its description in RNAcentral is "partial 16S ribosomal RNA". It matches the Rfam family "Bacterial small subunit ribosomal RNA", at positions 524 to 776 of the family's 1533-position model. Lineage: Bacteria; Bacillati; Bacillota; Clostridia; Lachnospirales; Lachnospiraceae. The record is from RNAcentral.
UACGUAGGGGGCAAGCGUUAUCCGGAUUUACUGGGUGUAAAGGGAGCGUAGACGAACUGGCAAGUCUGAUGUGAAAGGCGGGGGCUCAACCCCUGGACUGCAUUGGAAACUGUUAGUCUUGAGUGCCGGAGAGGUAAGCGGAAUUCCUAGUGUAGCGGUGAAAUGCGUAGAUAUUAGGAGGAACACCAGUGGCGAAGGCGGCUUACUGGACGGUAACUGACGUUGAGGCUCGAAAGCGUGGGGAGCAAACAGG